UUGUUUCAGGGAGAAGCUUUGGUUCACUAAAGAAUUCGCAGAAUUUCUUAAAGGCAGCUAAACCCAUGUUCCUUUACCUAAGUGAUAUUGUAGAUAGAGCACUGGUCCUAGAUUCUUGAAGACCUCAUGUUCUGUGUUAUGCCUCUGAUGGCUCUUGAUGACUUCGGACUACUUAGCCCUCCCCAACUUUAUUGGACAAGUCAGAGAUUGCAAUCUAUGAAUCCAAUUUUCCCUUGUCUUCCUCAGCCUAUAAGAGAUACUGAAACUGCAAGAGACACUUCAUACAAUGAGCUCAAAGAGAGAAUCAUAUAG
Molecule: long non-coding RNA, 312 nt
Filed under: Monodelphis domestica (gray short-tailed opossum)
Lineage: Eukaryota; Metazoa; Chordata; Mammalia; Didelphimorphia; Didelphidae
Description: lncRNA (ENSMODG00000037194.1)
Source: RNAcentral